Molecule: long non-coding RNA, 734 nt
Filed under: Homo sapiens (human)
Lineage: Eukaryota; Metazoa; Chordata; Mammalia; Primates; Hominidae
Description: novel transcript
Source: RNAcentral
AGGCAACCUCCUCAACAGGCCAUGGCAACAAGGCCACUUCACCAUCCCUGCAGUGAUUCCUCAGUAAUUCACCACCAGAAGCACCAUCACCUUCCUUCUGUGUCCCUCCACAAAGCCAGUUGGGACUUCUAGAUAUUUUUGAAGGCAUAUUGAACUAGAUGGUGUUCUAGGGUACUAAUUUCAAGCUGUUGUUCUCCUAACCAUGCCACCAUAGCAGCAAUUUUAUUCUGAUGCAUAGAUUUGUAUAGAGAGGGUAAGAAAUUAUUCCAUGAAGUGAUCCCUUCUCAGAAUUUUAAAUAAGAAAUGGAAAAACUUUCUGUACUCUCAGAGUUUUCAUAAUUUCCCCUGGGGUAGGAGGGCAGGUGCAGAAGGGAACGGAACAAAGAUAAAGAAACAGCCACGUGGACGUGUGGUGGAAGAUCGUUUGAAGGAGGAGAAGAGCAAGUCAAAGGCCCUGAGGCAAGAGCACACUGGGCAUGUUCAAGGGGAUUCUGGGAGUUGGAAGAGGCCAACUUUUCCUACCUGCAGUUUGAAGAUUAAGGACUUAGAGAUUUGUUGAGAGGCUGCUUCCGAGAGGUUACUGAUACACUGAGGACAGGAACUACUGACUACUCUGAAUGAGGGAAAAACAUCCAGUUUGGGGUGAUCCUGUUUUGCAAUGGCAGCUGUCAGCCAUAACAUGGUGGGAAAUAACGGUAAAUAAACCUCCUGUGAUUGGCAAGAAUAUAAAAAAA